UACGGGGGGGGUAAGCGUUGUUCGGAAUUACUGGGCGUAAAGGGCUCGUAGGCGGCCAACUAAGUCAGACGUGAAAUCCCUCAGCUUAACUGGGGAACUGCGUCUGAUACUGGAUGGCUUGGAUUUGGGAGAGGGAUGCGGAAUCCAGGUGUAGCGGUGAAAUGACGUAGAUAUCUGGAGGAACACCGGUGGCGAAGGCGGCAUCCUGGACCAAUAUUGACGGCUGAGGAGCGAAAGCCAGGGGAGCAAAGCGGG
Molecule: ribosomal RNA, 255 nt
Filed under: uncultured bacterium
Lineage: Bacteria
Description: partial 16S ribosomal RNA
Rfam family: Bacterial small subunit ribosomal RNA
Source: RNAcentral